This 427-nucleotide ribosomal RNA is filed under the name uncultured bacterium. RNAcentral's name for it is "bacterial SSU rRNA". It matches the Rfam family "Bacterial small subunit ribosomal RNA", at positions 355 to 775 of the family's 1533-position model. The record is from RNAcentral.
UGGGGAAUAUUGGACAAUGGGGGCAACCCUGAUCCAGCGAUGCCGCGUGGGUGAAGAAGGCCUUCGGGUUGUAAAGCCCUUUAGGUUAGGACGAAGUGUAUUGGAGGAAAUGCUAAUACAUUGACGGUACUAACAGAAUAAGCACCGGCAAACUCUGUGCCAGCAGCCGCGGUAAUACAGAGGGUGCGAGCGUUAAUCGGAGUUACUGGGCGUAAAGGGCGCGUAGGCGGUAGUAUGUGAAUGAUGUGAAAGCCCUGGGCUUAACCUAGGAAGUGCAUCGUUGACUAUAUUACUGGAGUACAGGAGAGGGUGGCGGAAUUUCCGGUGUAGCGGUGAAAUGCGUAGAGAUCGGAAGGAACGUCGAUGGCGAAGGCAGCCACCUGGCCUGAUACUGACGCUGAGGCGCGAAAGCGUGGGGAGCGAACAG